This 1121-nucleotide long non-coding RNA is filed under the name Naja naja (Indian cobra). RNAcentral describes it as "lncRNA (ENSNNAG00000001813.1)". The record is from RNAcentral. Lineage: Eukaryota; Metazoa; Chordata; Lepidosauria; Squamata; Elapidae.
AGAAAUGAUUUUUCUUCUUACAAAUGUUUAUUGUGAAUAAACCUCUGGGCAGAUACUUGCAUUAUGUCCACAACGAUGAGAUGAAUCCACCAGUUUUUACAGCCCAAGCAGUUCUGUAUGUGGUCCAGAAUGAGAUUGGAUAUUGGACAGCAUGGACCUUUGUAACAGAAAAUUGGUCAGAUCUGACCCUUAGGUCCUCAAUGAAUACUCUCAUGACCACUAUCACUACUGACAUUCACAUGCAAAUGAUACAAGCCUUUCUUAAUAAUACCCUUGAACCUGAAGAACAGAUAAUUGCUACAAACAGAAUGCUGACAGAAAAAUCUCAAAAUGAAAAAAGAAAAAAAUCAAUGACUGAAAUGAUCAUGUGGUUCAAAGAAAAUAUGGACAAUUGACCGCUGGGACAUUUCUUUUUUAAGGUAUCUUCAGAGCAAUUAAAAUUUCCCAGGUUAGAAAGAUGUUAUUUUGGGUAUCCAUAGGAUUGUUUUUCUGCGCAAUGAAUAAAAUACCAUUCAGGGCAAAGCAAACCACUGGUAUUAAAUAAAUUGUUUUCUCCCAGGACAAUGUCUACAAAAAUAUUUGCAUAUUUUGUGAAAUUCUUCCUCUGUAAGAAUGCAUUUCCAGAUGCCAUGCAAAGGAACUUCAAGGAAUAUUAUAUACUAAGGAAAUUAGUAUAAAUUAGUAUACAGACAACAAAUGGUCAAAAUUGGGAGCGUCUUAUCAAAUUCUGUACCUGUCAACAGUAGUGUCCCCCAGGGCAGCGUUCUAGGACUAACUCUCUUCAUACUCUACAUAAAUGACCUCUAUGAUCAUAUUAAGAGCAACUGCGUUCUCUUCGCUGAUGAUGUAAAGCUAUUCAACAUCACAGACAAUACUGCUACCCUUCAAAAAAACCUCAACUAUGUAUCAGAAUGGUCAAACAAAUGGCAACUUCAAAUCUCAACAAAUAAAUGCUCUGUCUUACAUAUUGGCAAAAAAAAAUCAGAAAAUAAAAUACAAACUGAAUAGUCAAGACCUUGUUGAUGAUCCAAACUCUGUCAAGGACCUUGGAAUACUCAUCUCUAAUGAUCUAAGUGCUAGAGCCCACUGUAACUACAUAGCCAAAAAGGCAUUAAGAGUUG